Long non-coding RNA from Neopsephotus bourkii (Bourke's parrot), 5547 nucleotides. RefSeq lists it as uncharacterized. NCBI's taxonomy places the organism in Eukaryota, Metazoa, Chordata, Aves, Psittaciformes, Psittacidae. The transcript is spliced from 5 exons. The record is from RefSeq and is a predicted model, not a curated record.
CAAAAUAAGAAAGUCCCUGUUGUAUUUUUAUUCCCCAUUAAAUUGCCCAUGCCAUUUUAUUUGCUUUUUAAUCAGUUUUAGCCCAUCACAUAUUCAAUAUGAGGCUUAAAUAUCAGGUAUCUCAGAAUGCUGUCUAAGGGCUGGCAUGGCCACAUCUGUCUUUCUGGCAGCACUUUCCUGAUUCCAGAUUUGGCAGUGAACCCCAACAAUAAGCCAGCUGGACCAAGAAAAGUGUCUCCUUCACACAUCAUCGUCCUCAGCUCCUCAGGCCUUUCCUUGGUUUCUGUGCAGGCCAGUGGGUCCCUUGGCACAUCAAUCAGAAUACCAUUUUGGCAAAUAUAGGCAGGCAGCAGUGUGGGAAGUGCCUCAGGGUGCUUCACUGGUAAGAAGACUGUGGAGACCAGUGAUCUCCAAAGGGAAGAGCAAUAUGGUGGCUUCUAGCGACUGGGAGGAAGUAGGAGAGUGUCUGAGGAAAGGAAGGAAGCCUUUGUUUCCUACAGGUGCAGUUUCAAAGAUAGAUCACUCCCACCAAAGGCUGCAGCCAUCACCUCCUCACAGCCUCAGGACAUGCUGAUUACCUGAAGCUGCCAUUGGACUCCUCCACAAACUGAUUCAAAUUGCUUAGCAGAAAAGUAAGCCUGCCAAGGCAGCAGAUAAUUUCAUGUCAGAUUUGUGAAUUGAAUUAGCUCAUAGGAGAAUCUUUGUGGAGAACUGACACAAAAAUAUGCUGUGCCUGGGAAUGGGGAGAGGAGCAUUGUCAGGUAGCAUGAGGAAAACAGAGUAAUGGAAGAGAUCAGGGGACAGAGUAGGAGGAUAAGGAAGGGGAAAGGAGAAUCAAAGAGGAGUCAUGAGACGCAGUGACAAGCAGCUGUUAGUGUGCUAAUCACUAGGCAGGUCACCACAGAUGAGAAGACCAUCAGGAUCAUCUGAAAUAUGACUUUACUGCCUUUGCUAUUCAGUGUCUCCAAUAUCCCAAGUGCUCCUUCACCUUUACUAAUUUCAGGACUGGUCACACAUCUAUAUUUGUCUUAGACGGGAGAAGUUUUAUGUCUCAGGAUUUGAGCCAGGCACUCUCUCCGGUGAUUUUUGGUGGCAUUAGAACCUUCUCUGUCCAUGUGCACUAAAUUAUAGCUAACCAGUGAGAAUAUUAAUACCCUGUGGCACAGAUCACCACCAACCAUGACUGACUGCUUCAUAAUCUGUUUUUAAUUUCACCACUUCUAGGACGAAAGAAAUUGUGAAGCUUAACUCUGUCAGGGAGCAUUGUAGAGAAUUAACACUCAGGGACAAAAUCUGCUUCCAUUUCCAUUGCCAUUAGAAAUUUUCUCCCCCAUAAGUGUUCUACCUGUUAUUCUAUCAUACAGGUGAAGAAAGGCAUCUCCAGAUAUGACUUAGAGAAAAGCUUCAGGAAAAAUUGCAGUCAGCACCAGCUUUAAGAGAAGGCUAUGGCUGUGGGUUCCAACCAGAGGCUUUUUCUUGGAUAUCCUUGUGAGCAUAAGGUCAUAUUCAGGCAAAGCUCUCUCAUUGGUGUUUCUUACUAGCUGGCUGUAGGUGGCUUCCCAUCAAGCUGGUUUCCUGCAGACAGCCCCUGUUCACCAUACAAUGUGAUACUAAUCCCAGUCCCAGCUACCUUAUUCCCAUGUCAGUGAAGGAAGUAUUACUGAAGGUUCUGCUUUUCAGAACCUUUUCUGAGCUUCUGAGCUGUGUCAUAAGCUCACCAAGACUAUAUGGCAAGCCUUUUGUGCUUGCUGAAAGAUCAGUGUCUGCAGGCUGCAUCUAUAGUAGCAAACCAGUCAGUUCCAGGGUGCGUACUAAAUGCUGCACCUCAAGUGUGUGCUGUACAGCUGCCAGUGGUUGCUGGUUUUGACCCAGACUGGUCAUCAGUCUUCUAAACACAGGCCUUGGGUGUAGGUCAGAAGUUAGUAUGAUUAUGGGCCACUUCCAAUAGGCAGUUUGGAUAAAGUAAUUUAGUUUUGAAGGGUAAGGUAAUUUUAUGUUAUGAACAUGGGUUGUACUGUUCCAGUUGACUUCAAUGCCACAGGCCUGUCCUGGGCUUGAUUAACUUACUAGCAGAAACAUGGAGGAAAAAGCUGAUUGUAUUUUGAGCUUCCUGUGUUAAUAUAGAGUAUUUAGUAUUAGUACUUAUUUGGACAAGUCUAAGUAAAGUUCCUUGUUAAGUGUCUCUUUUUGCAGGUUUUGCUUCAGAAGAGUCACAGCAAGAGUUUAUUAUGUUGCUUCCCCAUGCAUUGUAAGGGACAUUUUUCUAUUGACUUGACAACACAAUUAAGAAAAAAGUUUCAUGCCAGCGGGGCACAAGUAGUGUAUUUAUAUAUAUAUAUAUAUUUUAAGCCAUUCAAAACAGAAGAUGCUAAAGCUCUCCUUUCUAUUUCAUUAGGAGGAAGAAACUUAUUUCAUUGUUUUUAUUCUCUUCAUUGUCUUUAGUGUCAAUUCUGACUUUAAAGUCAAUGUCUUCCUAAGACUUUGCUAAUGACUUUUUCCCUAGGCCAUGCAACCACUUCUUUAGACCGUACUUCUUUUUAAUUGACUUGCUAAGCUUUCUUCCAAAAGCUUCUUUUCUUUUCUUCUUCCUUUUCUUUUGGAAUUCAGAGAAGGCAAUUUGGACUGAUUUCAGUCUCUUAUAGAUUUUGGAAAGAUUCCAGAGGCAAAGAUAGGACUAAAACAAACUGGCAAAAUCGAUUAUUUUAAAGUUUUGGCUUUUAGUUUAGACAAUUUUGACAAUAAUGCUGAAAAGAUGUUGGAAAGUGUCACAGUCCGGUCAGCACUAUAGCACACUUGACACACAGCACUAUAGUGUGUGGUGAAUAAAAUAAUACACCAAGUGACACUGAUAAAGGAGUUCUGAGGAAAAUUAUACCCUCAAGAUGUUUUCAAAUUAUUACAACCCGAUUUCUGCUCCCACUUACAUCGAACUAAGUCUGCAGCAAUUUCACUGACUUAGUGUCAAGACUGGAUUCUUUAUUCCCAUACAAAAUUUUUUUUUCCAUGUAAGUUGAGCCUCAUUAUAGUUAUUUCAGUAAGAAAUAGAGAUAACUCAAGCUUUUACUGAAGGAAGGGACACCAGAAGUCUGAGUGAUCGCUGUGACUGCAUUUUGCCUAAGCAGUGGGUGCAUGGCACAGACUGCAGGCACAUCUGCCCUCCCGUCAGUCAGCAGCAUGAUCCCAGGUAUUGGAGGUCUGGGUGUCCAGGCUACUUCUCCAUGAGAGCUAUAGGGAGGGGAGAAAGUGUACUGAAACAUUUCAACAUCCCCUGAUAAGGAUGUAUUUACUAGUAAAUUUAUCUAUUAGUGCUUUAAAAAAUAUAAAAAUAAUUCAUCAGCUCAGACUAAGUACAUACAUAUUGCAUGAAAAGAAAAGGAUUCAAGUAUGACCCUUAAUCCUGAGGGUUUGGAUGUAGUCCUGAGCUUACCACUUUUUCUGCAACCUAUAUCAUCACAGUUCUCUGCCAGUAUAUUACCUUUCAGCUUCCUGAGCUGAUGCCAUGCAGCUGUGAAUCAGGUGCAAUGUUCUCCCAUCAUGCAGCUAUUCACCAGGACAACAGGUAUGUACAGGCAGUCUCACAUCAGUCCUUGUGGGAGGGAGGCUGAGUUAGUACCCUUCAAAGACAAUGAUGUUCAAAGGCUGUCCUAUUCAGUAGUACUGGGGAUAAAUUGAAAACCAUAAAAUUACAUUUUAACAGAUUUUCUAUAAAGAACAGUGGGGCAGAGGUUCAGUUAUGUGCAUGCUUCCCAAGAGACAUGUAAUUUUUUUUUACCUGUGUCUCUGUUGUGCAUUUCUUCAAGUACCACCUCCCAGUCAAACAAAGAAAACCCUAGGCCUCUUCGGAAUUUUCUGUUCCUUAGUGCAUGAAUACACUGGAAUACAUAGCUGGACAUUUGUAAAGCCAGGAAAACAGGAAUAAUGUGGCUUACCAUAAUCCCAGGUGAAAUGUUGUUGGCUGUCAUGAGAACUGAGUUUUCUCAGGCAAACCAUGAACCAGCACAGUAAAUUGCUGAAUAUUCAUAUCCAGCCAGUUUCAUAGCAGAAAUAUGUCAUUACUUUGUAAUAAAGCUAAUUUGAUCAUACUUGAAUCCUUUUCUUUCCAUGCAAGGCGUACAUAAAAUGCUCGGUCUGAGCUGAUGAGUUAUCUUUUGCAGCAGUAAUAAAUGCAGCAGCUCUUUUAUGUUCUGUGUUUGCCCCCUACAAGGUUCCCUAUCAUUACACACUUUUAUUCUCAAAAGAUGAUACAAAUAUUUGAUUCACACUGUCUGAAGCAGCAAUCCUAAGCCUAGCAUUUUUUGCCAAUAUAGGUUAACCAUGCACUUACAUUACUAAGUGUAUUGUGUUUACAUGGCAGGUUUUGGUAGCAAGGCAGCUACAGGGGUGACUUCUGUGACCUGCUAGAAGCUUCUUCCUUGUCUGUUAGAGCCAAAUCCAGCCAGCUCCAGGACAGACUCACUGCUGGUGAAGGUCAAACCCAUCAGCAACAGCAGUAGCACCUCUGGGAUAACAUAGUUAAGAAGGGGAAAAUCCCCAGUGCAACAGCAACUGCAGCCAGAGAAGAGUAAGCAUAUGUGAGAGAAGCAGCUCUGCAGACCCCAAGAUUUGGUAGCUUGAAGCAGUUACACAGCAGUACCGCAUCACAGCUAACUUUCAAAGUAUCCAAGUUUGUGUGACAAGGAAUAAUCUGAAGUUCUGUGACAGUUCAGCAGGCACUUCAAGAGCAGAGAAACAAGAGGCAGGUGCUAUUCCAAAGAGACCCAUGUUCAGCUCUGUCAUGAUUUUCUUUGCUAUGAAACCCUGGUGAUGGUGAGAGCUAUAGGUGGAGACCAAGACUUCAGAUUCCACAAGCUGAGGAAAUUUAAGCCUAAAUAUCUAGCUUCUGGUAGAUGCUUUUUGGUCUCUCUGCUGGAGUUUACCUGCUAUGGGCCUUAUAUUACAGUAUCCUCUGCCACUCAACUUUACUGCUGAGGUCAUCCAGGAUGCAAAACCAGGAAGAUUUCUCUAAGUUACUCCCUCAUCUUUUCCACUUGGAUGGUCCCAAUAAGUUCCAUAGGUUCCAGUAUGAAUUAUGUCAGCUCACUAGGGAAUAAACGUGCACAGUAGUGUUUUCAUAGCUUGAGUUUGAAAGAUGACUGGACUAGCUUGUGACAUUGGGCUUGGACCUCCUCUGUGGUCUGUGUGAUGCUGAACUAAUGUGCAAUACUUAAGAUGAAUACUAAUGGUGGAGGGGGAUCUUCACAGUGUCACAGAAUGGUUGAGGUUGAAAAGAGGCUCCUUUCCCCUGCUUGAGCAGGGCCACCCAGAGCUAGUUGCCCAGGACCAGAUGGCUUUUGAAUAUCUCCAAUGAUGGGGACUCUGUAACCACUCCGUGCAGCUUGUGUCAGUGCUUAGUCAGCCUCAGUAAAAAAGAUUUUCCUGAUAUUCAGACGUGUCUUCUGUGUUUAAGUCUGUGCCCAUUGCCCCUCUUGAACUACUGUAAUUUGUUGCUAAAAAUGUUUUCUCUUGUAUUUUUAGACAUCAUGCCAAAUAAAAAAAACCCAAACAUUA